CGGCUCGCACUGGACACACACCUGUCAAGGUCCCCGCCGGCGGGAGCCCCUUAUCUGUUUGGUGAGGGGCAGGGAUAGGAUCAAGACGCAGCGGGAUUUGUUGCCAGAAGCCAGCAAAGAUGUGGAAAAAACUGGACAGAAGCCCAGUGUCUCUGAGUUCUUGGAAUGAGGAAGCCUGCGCACACGUGGGGUGGAGUGGGUGACAGCCUGUGGCCUGGGUUCCAAGAGCACAGAUAAAGGAAGCCUGCACAGAACCACAGACCCCAGGGCUCGGCAGGGCCUCGUCAGCCACUCUCCACCAACCCCGAGAUGCCGGAUGCUUGGAGUUUUGAGUUCAAGUCUUGGCGCCCUGCAAUCAUUCUGCACAUGUUUUUUGAGCACCGACUCCACGUCGAACUGAUGGAGGACCUGAUCUAGCAGUGAGCAAAAGGCAGAUCGCUGCCAUCACGGGGCUUGCAUUUUAGUUAAGGGAGAUGGGCAAUACACAAAUCAAUAUAUAAGGGCUGCUAAAAACUAAUAAUAAUAAAGCAGAGUAAAGGAAAUAGAGAGUGCCGGUA
RNAcentral lists this long non-coding RNA (557 nucleotides) under Felis catus (domestic cat). RNAcentral's name for it is "lncRNA (ENSFCAG00000050145.1)". Lineage: Eukaryota; Metazoa; Chordata; Mammalia; Carnivora; Felidae. The record is from RNAcentral.